AAACUUAAAUGAAUUGACGGGGGCCCGCACAAGCGGUGGAGCAUGUGGUUUAAUUCGACGCAACGCGCAGAACCUUACCAACCCUUGACAUGUCCAGUAUGGUUUCCAGAGAUGGAUUCCUUCAGUUCGGCUGGCUGGAACACAGGUGUUGCAUGGCUGUCGUCAGCUCGUGUCGUGAGAUGUUGGGUUAAGUCCCGCAACGAGCGCAACCCUCGCCUUUAGUUGCCAUCAUUUAGUUGGGCACUCUAGAGGGACUGCCGGUGAUAAGCCGGAGGAAGGUGGGGAUGACGUCAAGUCCUCAUGGCCCUUACGGGUUGGGCUACACACGUGCUACAAUGGCGGCGACAAUGGGCAGCGAAGGGGCGACCCGGUGCAAAUCCCAAAAGCCGUCUCAGUUCGGAUUGUACUCUGCAACUCGAGUGCAUGAAGGUGGAAUCGCUAGUAAUCGCGUAACAGCAUGACGCGGUGAAUACGUUCCCGGGCCUUGUACACACCGCCCGUCACACCAUGGGAGUUGGUUUUACCCGAAGCUGGUGCGCUAACCGCAAGGAGGCAGCCAACCACGGUAAGGUCAGCGACUGGGGUGAAGUCGUAACAAGGUAGCCCUAGGGGAACCUGGGGCUGGAUCACCUCCUUUCUG
This 640-nucleotide ribosomal RNA is filed under the name uncultured Parvibaculum sp. RNAcentral describes it as "bacterial SSU rRNA". It matches the Rfam family "Bacterial small subunit ribosomal RNA", at positions 897 to 1533 of the family's 1533-position model. The record is from RNAcentral. Lineage: Bacteria; Pseudomonadati; Pseudomonadota; Alphaproteobacteria; Hyphomicrobiales; Parvibaculaceae.